Molecule: unclassified non-coding RNA, 200 nt
Filed under: Russula sp.
Lineage: Eukaryota; Fungi; Basidiomycota; Agaricomycetes; Russulales; Russulaceae
Description: partial internal transcribed spacer 2
Source: RNAcentral
UUAAGUUCAGCGGGUAGUCUCACCCGAUUUGAGGUCAAGGUUUGUUGUGGGUCAAGCCGACCACCUACGGAGAGGCGGCGACCGGAACACCAUCGUUGUCGAUGAGACGGUUAGAAGCGGGCAACGGUGCCAAACCCAAGACGCAGAAACAUCUUAUCACGUCAAAGAUCGACAAAGCGAACCCCACUAAUUCGUUUAAG